RNAcentral lists this small RNA (127 nucleotides) under Marmota monax (woodchuck). The record is from RNAcentral. Lineage: Eukaryota; Metazoa; Chordata; Mammalia; Rodentia; Sciuridae.
GCCGGGCGUGGUGGCGUAUACCUGUAAUCCAUUGACUCCGGGAGGCUGAGGCAGGAGGAUAGCAAGUUCAAGGCUAGCCUCAGCAAAUUAGUGAGGCCCUAAGCAACUCAGCAAGAUCUUGUCUCUA